GCCAGCGUGGCACAGUGGUUUGAGUGUUGGACUAUGACUCCGGAGACCAGGGUUAGAUUCCGCGCUUGCC
RNAcentral lists this transfer RNA (70 nucleotides) under Phrynosoma platyrhinos (Desert horned lizard). RNAcentral's name for it is "tRNA-OTHER". It matches the Rfam family "tRNA". From Rfam's summary of the family: Transfer RNA (tRNA) molecules are approximately 80 nucleotides in length. Their secondary structure includes four short double-helical elements and three loops (D, anti-codon, and T loops). Lineage: Eukaryota; Metazoa; Chordata; Lepidosauria; Squamata; Phrynosomatidae. The record is from RNAcentral.